This 491-nucleotide ribosomal RNA is filed under the name Bacillus wiedmannii. RNAcentral describes it as "bacterial SSU rRNA". It matches the Rfam family "Bacterial small subunit ribosomal RNA", at positions 404 to 886 of the family's 1533-position model. Lineage: Bacteria; Bacillati; Bacillota; Bacilli; Caryophanales; Bacillaceae. The record is from RNAcentral.
GGUAAACGUGCUUUCGGGUCGUAAAACUCUGUUGUUAGGGAAGAACAAGUGCUAGUUGAAUAAGCUGGCACCUUGACGGUACCUAACCAGAAAGCCACGGCUAACUACGUGCCAGCAGCCGCGGUAAUACGUAGGUGGCAAGCGUUAUCCGGAAUUAUUGGGCGUAAAGCGCGCGCAGGUGGUUUCUUAAGUCUGAUGUGAAAGCCCACGGCUCAACCGUGGAGGGUCAUUGGAAACUGGGAGACUUGAGUGCAGAAGAGGAAAGUGGAAUUCCAUGUGUAGCGGUGAAAUGCGUAGAGAUAUGGAGGAACACCAGUGGCGAAGGCGACUUUCUGGUCUGUAACUGACACUGAGGCGCGAAAGCGUGGGGAGCAAACAGGAUUAGAUACCCUGGUAGUCCACGCCGUAAACGAUGAGUGCUAAGUGUUAGAGGGUUUCCGCCCUUUAGUGCUGAAGUUAACGCAUUAAGCACUCCGCCUGGGGGAGAGUUA